UACGUAGGUGGCAAGCGUUAUCCGGAAUCAUUGGGCGUAAAGAGUGUGUAGGCGGCUACUCAAGUCAGUUGUAAAAUCUGUGGGCUCAACUCACAACAUGCAUCUGAAACUAGGUAGCUAGAGUCUGGAAGAGGUAAGUGGAAUUUGUGGUGUAGCGGUGAAAUGCUUAGAUAUCACAAGGAACAUCAAUGGCGAAGGCAACUUACUGGGACAGUACUGACGCUGAGACACGAAAGCGUGGGGAGCGAACGGGAUUAGAUACCCCGGUAGUCCACGCCGUAAACGAUGCCUACUAGCUGUAAGGGGUCUCGACCCCCUCUGUAGCGAAGCUAACGCGUUAAGUAGGCCGCCUGGGGAGUACGAUCGCAAGAUUAAAACUCAAAGGAAUUGACGGGGACCCGCACAAGCGGUGGAGCAUGUGGUUUAAUUCGAUGAUAAGCGAAGAACCUUACCGAGGCUUGACAUCUCCGGAAUCUUCUGGAAACAGGAGAGUGCCUUCGGGAGCCGGAUGACAGGUGCUGCAUGGCUGUCGUCAGCUCGUGUCGUGAGAUGUUCGGUUAAGUCCGUUAACGAGCGCAACCCUCAUCCUGUGUUGCCUGCAAAAGGAACUCACAGGAAACUGCCCUGGUCAACAGGGAGGAAGGUGGGGAUGACGUCAAGUCAGCAUGGCCCUUACGCCUCGGGCCACACACGUGCUACAAUGGCCGGUACAAUGGGCUGCGAACCCGUGAGGGGAAGCCAAUCCCAACAAAACCGGUCUCAGUUCGGAUUGAAGGCUGCAACUCGCCUUCAUGAAGUUGGAAUCGCUAGUAACCGUAGGUCAGCUAUACUACGGUGAAUACGUUCCCGGGUCU
Molecule: ribosomal RNA, 854 nt
Filed under: uncultured bacterium
Lineage: Bacteria
Description: SSU rRNA
Rfam family: Bacterial small subunit ribosomal RNA
Source: RNAcentral